GUGCUCGUUUCGGCAGCACAUAUACUAAAAUGGGAACAAAACAGAGAAGAUUAGCAUGGCCCCUGUACUAGGAUGACAUGCAAAUUCAUGAAGUGUUCCAUAAUUUU
This is a small nuclear RNA of Kogia breviceps (pygmy sperm whale), 107 nucleotides long. The record is from RefSeq and is a predicted model, not a curated record. NCBI's taxonomy places the organism in Eukaryota, Metazoa, Chordata, Mammalia, Artiodactyla, Physeteridae.